This 270-nucleotide ribosomal RNA is filed under the name uncultured bacterium. RNAcentral's name for it is "partial 16S ribosomal RNA". It matches the Rfam family "Bacterial small subunit ribosomal RNA", at positions 793 to 1055 of the family's 1533-position model. The record is from RNAcentral.
GUCCAUGCCGUAAACGAUGAGGACUAGGUGUUGGCCCGCAAGGGUCAGUGCCGCAGCUCACGCAUUAAGUCCUCCACCUGGGGAGUACGGCCGCAAGGUUGAAACUCAAAGGAAUUGACGGGGGCCCGCACAAGCGGUGGAACAUGUGGUUCAAUUCGACGCUACGCGAAGAACCUCACCCAGGCUUGACAUGCCUUGGAGUAGUGCCCCCUGAAAGGGGGCACGACCGUAUCCAAUCGGUACUUGGCACAGGUGUUGCAUGGCUGUCGU